GAGGAAUAUUGGACAAUGGGCGAGAGCCUGAUCCAGCCAUGCCGCGUGCAGGAAGACGGCCCUAUGGGUUGUAAACUGCUUUUGUACGGGAAGAAACACCCCCUCGUGAGGGGGCUUGACGGUACCGUAAGAAUAAGGAUCGGCUAACUCCGUGCCCGCAGCCGCGGUAAUACGGAGGAUCCAAGCGUUAUCCGGAAUCAUUGGGUUUAAAGGGUCCGUAGGUGGGCCGUUAAGUCAGAGGUGAAAUCCUGCAGCUCAACUGUAGAAUUGCCUUUGAUACUGGCGGUCUUGAAUCAUUGUGAAGUGGUUGGAAUAUGUAGUGUAGCGGUGAAAUGCAUAGAUAUUACAUAGAACACCGAUUGCGAAGGCAGAUCACUAACAAUGCAUUGACACUGAUGGACGAAAGCGUGGGGAGCGA
This 418-nucleotide ribosomal RNA is filed under the name uncultured bacterium. Its description in RNAcentral is "bacterial SSU rRNA". It matches the Rfam family "Bacterial small subunit ribosomal RNA", at positions 356 to 771 of the family's 1533-position model. The record is from RNAcentral.